CGAGUCGACCGGGCGACCGCGUCGGGGUUCUCACCAGAACUCCGCCGAGGAAAGUCCGGGCUCCACAGGGCAGGGUGGUUGCUAACGGCAACCCGGGGUGACCCGCGGGACAGUGCCACAGAAAACAGACCGCCAGCGGGUCCGCCCGCUGGUAAGGGUGAAACGGCGGUGUAAGAGACCACCAGCGGUGCGAGUGAUCGUGCCGGCUAGGUAAACCCCACCCGGAGCAAGGUCAAAAGGCCCGGCCGGGAAACCGGUCGGGCUGCGCAGGCGUUCGAGGGCGGCCCGCCCGAGCCUGCGGGUAGACCGCUGGAGCCUGCCGGCAACGGUAGGCCGAGAUGGAUGGUCGCCUCGGCGCGCGAGCGCCGGACAGGACCCGGCUUACAGGUUGACUCGUCCG
RNAcentral lists this RNase P RNA (400 nucleotides) under Jatrophihabitans cynanchi. RNAcentral describes it as "Jatrophihabitans sp. SB3-54 RNase P RNA component class A". It matches the Rfam family "Bacterial RNase P class A". Rfam says of the family: Ribonuclease P (RNase P) is a ubiquitous endoribonuclease, found in archaea, bacteria and eukarya as well as chloroplasts and mitochondria. Its best characterised activity is the generation of mature 5'-ends of tRNAs by cleaving the 5'-leader elements of precursor-tRNAs. Cellular RNase Ps are ribonucleoproteins. Lineage: Bacteria; Bacillati; Actinomycetota; Actinomycetes; Jatrophihabitantales; Jatrophihabitantaceae. The record is from RNAcentral.